CAGUCGCGCGGUAAUACGAAGGGGGCUAGCGUUGCUCGGAAUGACUGGGCGUAAAGGGCGCGUAGGCGGCUUGUACAGUCAGAUGUGAAAUCCCCGGGCUUAACCUGGGAACUGCAUUUGUGACUGGCGGGCUAGAGUAUGGCAGAGGGGGGUAGAAUUCCACGUGUAGCAGUGAAAUGCGUAGAUAUGUGGAGGAAUACCGAUGGCGAAGGCAGCCCCCUGGGAUAACACUGACGCUCAUGCACGAAAGCGUGGGGAGCAAACAGGAUUAGAUACCCCCGUAGUCCCUGUCUCUUAUACA
RNAcentral lists this ribosomal RNA (301 nucleotides) under uncultured bacterium. RNAcentral's name for it is "partial 16S ribosomal RNA". It matches the Rfam family "Bacterial small subunit ribosomal RNA", at positions 509 to 808 of the family's 1533-position model. The record is from RNAcentral.